AUUUGGUUAUGGAGUUAUUAAUUUAUCUUUAUUGGUUUAUCCAAACCACCCACAACAACCAAUUAUGAGAGAGUAAAAAUAGAGAAAGCUUUACGUAUACUCUCAGGAGCCCUAUCCCUUCUAGCCGCCUACUCUAUCCAUGUGCUCUGAAAGCUUGAAAUCUCAUAGCACGCUGCCAUUAAUUGAGUGCUUAGAUUUGAAUCUCGCGCUUCAUGUGUGAUGGCUGGAUUUCUUGAAGACAAAGUUGGAGGAGGCGAUGAAGGUGGCGGAAGGGAGCUUCUCUUGGAAAGAUUGGGGGUGGGGCGGUGGGCUUGAUUUCUGUUAUAAAAGUAUCAUCUUCUUUAUUUUGCAUGCAACCUUUUCUUGGUGUACUAUUAAUGGAGAUGAUCCGAUGGAGUUGUUUUGCAACUGAAUCCAUCAACUAAUCCUAGCAUCUAAGAUUUUCCUCAGUAACAAUUACAAAAACUAUGUCCAGAUUGGAGUGAUAGUUCUAAUUGCAUCAGGUGAGGAUUUAGCGAUUAAGGGUGAGGCAGCGAUGGUUUGUGAGAAAGAGUAAAGUUAGUAGAUAAUGAAUUUGACUCUAUAAACAUGAAGAGGAGACUUUGGGACACUACACUAUGUUGAAAGGAUGUAUUCGUUUUUUCUUGCUUCUAAAAGUAUGUGUUACUCCUUUUUAUUCUUAUCAUAUGGACGAGUUAGGGGGUUUCCUUUACUGAUAACUGUUUUUUGUCCAAUUAAGCUGUAAUGCUGUCCAAUUUGCAUUUCCUUCUCAGAAGAUCAUUUCUACAUUGAAUGUAAUCUAUUUCCAUGAACUUUAGGGGGCUUUUUGGAGAACACUUUCAUUUCAAAAUUAUUUGGUCUUUGCCUAUACAGUUCCAUAUGGAAUCAUACAUAGAUAAUUAAGAUGUAUGUGCUGCAAGAGUUUACUGCUAGAUAGUACUCAUCUAGGUGAGUUUGAUGUGUUUCAUGUUAGGUGCCUAUUAGUUUAACUAAAGCUCUAUAUACAUUCUUUUUUCUUGCUCGAGUGAAGCUCUAAUUGUUGUGAAGAGCUCAGUUUCUCAUGCGUUGAGACUUGAGAGUGACUUUUAUAAAUCUGAUGCUUAGUCUUUUCCUUUGAUAUAUUAUGAUUACUUAUAUAUUAAUUAUUCUUGGGUUUGGAUUACAGAUUAGAAAAAUUGGAACAAUUUUCUAUAUUUCUUAGGCAUAAUUAAUAUAAUAGGGUGUUUGGUUACUCUUUCGUUGUUUUCUCUUUUAUUUAAAACAGAUUGGGAUGGAAAACAUGUUUAGCAUUUUUUACCUUUAUAAUUUUACUUUUUAUAAUAUGGUCAAGUUUGAUAGUAGCAAGUAAUAGUUUUUUCAUUUCUCAAAUUUAUGAAGUUGGACAUGGCAUUAAUGAUCACAUUGGGUUUUUGACUUGGAGGGGGGAGUUUUUUUUUUUAAUCAGUAAAGUAUAUAUGUAUAUUAUAAUAAAUAGGGAAUACUAGGAGUAUUCCAAUCCAGUACAAAAAAUAGCAAGCCAGGAACACACAGAAGCAGGGGAAAACAGAAAAGAGACCCUGCAACUACGGAACCAAAGCAAACAACACUACCCAGUCCACCCGAUACAUAACCAAGAGACAACACUCUGCAUAGACCUAUAUUAAUUGACAUAUUAAGGUUCUCAAUUAGUAGAUUGGAUGUUUACAUCCUCAAAGCUUAUUGAUAACUUGGUUUAUCAUCUUCUUUCCUUGACUUAUUAAAAAUUUCUAUUUAAUUGUAUACCUUCUUUCCUUUGAUUACAGAUUUGCUUCUUAAAUUGCUACUAAGGAUUUCAUGAGGCAUAGUCUCCUUUUUCUUAUGUAUACCUUUAUAUUUGAUGGUUCAUUUUAAGUAAAUGGGGAUAACAAUGAUACUUUAAAGGAAACAGAAGCACCAUUUGCUUUAUUCCAGAAUCCAUGUUAUUAAAAUAUGUGUUGCACUAUAAAAUGCACUGCACUAUUACACUGCACCUACCCCAUAAAUUUUCACCGUUGUGGCACAUGUGAAACUUUCAAUGAAGUCGGCAAAGGUGUUCAUCACAUAGUGAUCAUUGUUUCAUUUUAGUAUUCCAAAACCUGAAGUUGCAAUAACAGUGUUAGAGGAUUUGUGGAGCUUCUGUAAUUAGUAAGAGAUGAGAUUGUUGGUAUCCAUGGAUGACAUGGUGCCUCACAUGAUUUUAUUUUUAAGAGGUGUUGAACUGCUGCCUUUUCAGUUCUAUAUACUGACUCACAUAGCUCUUUAAUAUCUACUGCUCUUGAAAUAGAGCUAAAAAUAAUGUGAUUCUGAUGUUGAACUACGUGAACACUUUGGUUCAGAUUGUGUUGAUGCUAUUUACGGGAGUGGAAAAAGAGUCAUUCACAUUGAGUAUGAUACUGCUAGGCCUUAUAAGUGGCUUGGUGAGAAUUGGUCUAUAUGAUAUGAGCUAUGAUGAUUUAAAUAUGGAAUGUUACUAUGGUUGUUAUGUGGAUUGUUAUUUCAUCAAAUAUGUUUCAAUUUUUGGCUUUUGGGUCUUAAGUGUUGCCAAGAUUUUUUUUUUGUUUUUCUUUUGUGUCAUGUUGCCUAGACCCUUAUGUUUUUGGGUUAUGCUUAUGGUUUUCUUUUAAUUGGGCGUCUAAAGUUAUUAUCUAAUUGCUGUUGUGUGUUUGUUUUUGUUUGGAAUGUAGGCAAAGCUACAUAAGCUUUCAGAGGAUUGAAGAGCUCCUAAAGGCUAUGGAUGAGCUACUGGAAUAGUAGGAGGAUGAUCUCAAAAUUUGUGGCCAUCAGUAGGAUAAGCUUCCCUCUGAAGGAGAACAAAGUUGAUUUCGGUUGAAUGAUCUUACAAUUUUCCAGUGAAAUAAAAUACAGUUUGUCAUGUCUAAAAGUGAGAUAUAGAAAGAGAUCAGAUGAUGGCACCUCAUGAAUGCUUGAGUACUCUAAGUUUAAAAAUUUGAAGGCAAAGCUGGAAAUGACCUGGUUAUUAGUAUAGAUUGUAAUUUUAUAAGUAGUUUUCCAUGCCAGGAUAUAGUCACUUUGAUUUCUUAAACCAAAUAACAUUGUAAUAGUAUAAUGCAGACUGCUGUGUUUUCUGAACACGUUGCUUCUACAAUUAGCUUAACUGAUUAUAGUUAAUGCAGUAAUAUGAAUCUAUUCAAUUUUAUAUGUUGAGCACAUACUGGA
Molecule: long non-coding RNA, 3174 nt
Organism: Lotus japonicus
Lineage: Eukaryota; Viridiplantae; Streptophyta; Magnoliopsida; Fabales; Fabaceae
Exons: 4
Source: RefSeq, a predicted model, not a curated record